GUGCUCACUUUGGCAGCACAUAUAAUAAAAUUGGAAUGAUACAGAGAAGAUUAGCAUGGCCCCUGCACAAGGAUGACACAUAAAUUUAUGAAGUGUUCUAUAUUUAA
This 107-nucleotide small nuclear RNA is filed under the name Physeter macrocephalus (sperm whale). The record is from RNAcentral. Lineage: Eukaryota; Metazoa; Chordata; Mammalia; Artiodactyla; Physeteridae.